Long non-coding RNA from Columba livia (rock pigeon), 7151 nucleotides. RefSeq lists it as uncharacterized. The transcript has 2 exons. The record is from RefSeq and is a predicted model, not a curated record. Lineage: Eukaryota; Metazoa; Chordata; Aves; Columbiformes; Columbidae.
CCGGCGGCAGCGGGACGCCUGGCGGGGGGACAGCGGCCCCGGCGUCGAUGAAAGCGACUGAGGAGGCGGAGGCUCCUCCUGAGAGGGGAGAGUGAACCCUGCGCCCCUUCACCGCAACCCCACGGGGGACUUUGGGCUAGCUGCUCUGGGAGGUGCUGCUGCUCCCUGUGGUUAUGAUCCCCCCGGCCUCCUUGUUGCACUUCAUUGUCUAAGGCCAAGAGGCUCCACCACCUUCUCAGUGUCCUGUGGCAGCCUUGAGAAUUGUCUGUGGUGACCAGAGGGGUGCUGAAGGCAGCUGGUGCCCGGUGCAGCUGCAGGGCUGGCCGGGCACUCCCAGGCAGGCCGGGCUGCAGCACAAGGCUGCUUGAGGUGGCAAGAUGGCGAUGGCUGGCCUGUCUGCACUGCCCAUGGAGGCUUGGCUGGCUGGGUUGGCUGACCAAAGGUGACAACUGCUUUUAAACAGCUCCAGCCAAGGCAGUGAGCUUUUGCUAGACUCUUUGCUCCCCCAGCUUGCUCCUGCCCACCGUUUCCCCUCAGUGUGGAGGUGACUGGGUACAGUUUUGUUGAGGAGCCUUCAGUUGGCUCUGGUGGGGAGCAGAAAGGGCACCUCGGACAGAAAUCCUCUGUACCAAAGCUUCUGAGCGAGCGUGAUUCAGGUGGGGGGUGCUGAAGGUGACUUUUAGAUGCUCCGCCAUGAGUUACGUCUUGGCUGGGAGGUACCAGCUGGCUGGAGUCAGCUGUGGAAGGGGCAGCGUGACAUAAAGCAGAGGAGCCCUGGACCAGCUCCUGCAGGGGCUGCAGCCAGGUCCCAUGGCGGCAAGCUGCUGAGAUGUUUAACUCAGGAUUGCCUGAACUUUGUUGAUUUGGCCUCCAUUCCUCUCAUGCACAUUGGAUUCAAGACAAUUAGCUAAUGUGUGCUCGAUACUUUGAAGAUGUGAAGUCUUGUGGAAGCCCUGAGCUUUAUUCAUUUCUAUUUGGAUGAUUUGGCUGGACAAAAAAAGGUGUGGGUGGUUGAUAUUUUUUCCCCCUCACGUUUCAGUAGCCUUGAACAUGUUGCGGCUUGUGAGCAGACAUGAACAGUUAGUAUGUGUCUCACUGAAUGUGUGAACAAUUUAUUUAUACUCAUCAAUCGAGGACCUUCCUCAGUUUAAACAAUUCUGUGAUUUGUUCCUUUAGGACCUUCUUCAGUUUAAACAAUUCUAUGAUUUGCUCCUUUAAAGUAAUGCUUUUUGUCUUCCACAUUUCCUUUAAUAUUUUUGUAUAUGCAAAUAUUGAUGUGUCCAUACUUUAGGGAUAGAUAGACAUAGGCUGCUAUCUGAUUUAUUGUUAAUCCAUUAUAAAUUCUCACCUAGAUUUCCUCAGGAGCCUUUUAAAAUUUUCCUUUUUCUUUUUUCAAACUUCCAGGAAAGUUCUACUGUGGUGUAUCAUAUCUUUUGUAUUACCCUGAAUGAGAACAUUUAUGAGGGGUAACACUCAAGAAAAAUAUUUUCAAGUAACUUUCACUGUCAAGAAAACCCCAACCAACCAAAAACCCCACCAGACAGGAAAUGGAAAGUAGUACGCUGAGAAACAUUGCCGUUUACAAGCACUAACUCUGUUUAGGUAAAAAGACAUGUUAAAGCUCCAGAUCUAUUGCUUUGUCUUGUAGAGUUGAGAAAGACAGGGAAAACAUUGUGCAAAGCUUUGGAAGGACUGCGCAAAUCUUUGUGCUGUUUUGGCUGACACUUUGGGCUAUUUUAUCAACAUUUACUUUUUCUUCUCUGAUCCCUUCUGUCUCUGAAAUGGCGCAUAUCAAGAAGCCUCAAGGCAAAUGGAAACCUGAAAUUACUUGUAGCUACUGUGAAUUUAUUAUUAUGUCAUUUCACUGAAAAAAACUUGGGAAUUAAGAUGUGCUGUAAUACAACUGUGUCCCAAUACAGACCAGUUGUGUAGUAAGUAUUUUAAGGCAUUGUAAUAAUUUUCUAUCUGGAAAAGUAGAAAAAGAUGUAUAAAAAGUGUAUAAAAGGCUGAAAGAUACUUUUGCUUAUGCAGUGGUGAGAAUCUUAAGUAGGUCCUGUGGUGUUUAAUUUGACCUAACAACGACCCUGACAAAGCACUGCGCUGAGAGCUGGGACAUACACACCUGGGCGAAAUACAUGGGUAAGUUACUGGUGUUCAGGGCUACUGAACAUUUGCCCUUUUGUCGUUAUUGAUUCAUUAGGGAAUGCUGUGUAGGGUAAAUUUAUCUGGCCACACAUACCUGUCUUUCACCCUUACAGCCUGCAACUACCAAGAAGAUUAAAAAGAAACAGGGCGGUAUUACUCGCUAUGAGUGUGGUUAUCUUCCUAAGCAGCAUCCAAACUUCAGUACAUUUCUGAGUUUUCUUUCACUAGUCAGAAGUAAUAUAUAUAUUCUCAUGACUCCAUGUUGAAUUGUAAAAAGGGUUUAUAAAGGGUUUGCUCAAUUGGGGGGGAGGUGUGUGUUCUGAGCGCACUUGGCAAAAGCAUGACAGAAUUGGAAUGGUUUAUCCCUGUUCUGUCUCAACCAGCAGACAUGACAUGUGAAACUUUCUGUAUAGGGCUAGAAACAACAUAAGUAUGAACAGUCGUGGACUUGAGAUUUUAAUUUAUUUAUUUUUUUCUUAAAGGAGGACCUGAUACACUACGUAUUGGAUAGCAGUAGUAACAUUUUCAAGUGGAUUAAGUAUUUGGAGGUAGCUGUUAACAGUUACAAAAGCUGCCAGAUGUAGAACAGCAGAUUUAUUCCUGGAUACCUUCAGUAAACUUGCUAAGUAGAUGUACUGAUCCCUGCUGUGUACCUGCUGAGUGUAUGUAAUCUAAAAUAUUUCUCUUGACACUCUCCCUGAAGGUAGAGUCUGGUAUUAGUUUUACCCUCAUUCAGGUGAGACAGGGUGAGGAACUUGCCCGGUGUCACGGACGGAAAUGGAAGCAGACUUUUCCCCAGUGUGCUGGUUUCUACCUCUGACUGUUACAAUUGCUUUCCCACAAGUUCUGGCAGAGCCCAUCAUCAUCAUCCAUUAAGAUGGAAAGAAUAGUGCAGCCUCUCAAAGAUGUUGGAUGUCACUUCUGCAAAUAAUGCCAUCGCCAGUGCUACAUUCGCAGAUGGUCUUCUGACAUGAAAACUCUCAAAUAUCAGCCAUAAUACCUAGUGCUUGUAUAAUGUUUUACAGGACCAAGACAUUAUACAAACACAGACACUGAAAAACUUGAGUUGUUUCACUUAGAGUCACCAUAGAGGUCACUAGCCAAUCUCACCUGUGCAUUCAGAAGCAUUUUAAGGUGUACUUGGUAAUCAGAGAACUAAUUCUAUUGAAUUAAAACUAACUUUGAGGCGAUACUAUUAAUAAGAAAUACUCUGAUAAUAGAAUAUCACUCUGACUAUUAAAAACAGAGAAGGUACUGCAUUUAACCGGGUAACUAUGGCUGAAUGCUCCACCUUUAAGUAUUCCUAGAUCUAUCAGAAGCCGUCUUUCAAUGGUUAGUGAGAAGAAAAAGAGCUUUCUUCCUUCUGUGCUUUUUGUGGACAUUCAGUUUCUUCGAAAACGGUUGUGUAGACUGGCGUUCGUGUGCUGGUCUUCUCCCUCAGCUUCCUUUCUAGCUGCUCUGGAAGAUUUUCAUUAAAACCAGAAGGACUGGGAAUAUAUUUUUUACAUUUGGCAGAAGCUGAUGGCAGUUGCUCAGGAAAACAACCUACUUGCAACAGAUUUUUCAAACCCUAUAUAUGGCUAGAUAAACAUCUAAGCAUUUGGUAUCUUGCAGUUGUAUUUUAAAGCAAAACAAAAUAAACCAAAAAGAACUUCAAAAAGUUGCAGAUAAGACCCCUAAGUGAAAUGUAAAAGAAACACAGAAUUUUGAGAGCCUGGUUUCUGAUGGUUCUCUUUUAUGAUAAUUCUGGAUAUCUAAUUAAGAAUAAGGUUAUUAAGUUUUUCUUGGUUAAAAUAUUCAUAGGAUCUCUGUUUUCUCUCUGGUUCCCAAUUUUAAAGAAAACUAUUAAGAGUUUAAAGAUUUUUUUAGACCUUUCUCCUCAGUAACGUUUGGUUGAAACUGCUUACUGAGUUCAAAAAUCAUGUCAAUGAAUGACACAUAACUCUUGAAUUGGGUGGUUUUUUGUUUGUUUUGUUUCAUUUUUUUUCCCCUCUUUUCCUCUUCUCCUUUUUUUAGGUAAUUAGACCAAGAGGAAAUCAAGUACCUGAAAUUAAAAAUAAUGAAUUUAUUACAUUUCAACAUUGAAAUAUUUCCUUUGUGCACAAAAAAUGAUUGUGCAGAAAAAUACCUCAGUGCUCCUUUUAAGCUGCCAGAAGUAACAUUAUUAGUACAAAAUCUGUGGAUAAAUUCACUUUUACAAUAUUGUAACCCCCACGCAUUAUUACAGUAAUUGCUUCCACCUAAGUGUAUACGUAGAGCAUGAAAAUAUAUCCUGAUUUUAAAAUCACUUACAAGCAUUUCUCAUUCUUGCCAGUAUUCCUUUAUAUGUAGGAAGGUUUAACUUUACUAAGUUAAAUCGCUGAAGAAGUGUCUGCUACUUAGUGAUGUACAGCAUCAAUGACAUAAAAUCUCAUGUUUUUCUUGUGUUAUAUUCCUGGUUUUAUAUAUACAUGUGACACAAUGGACACAUCUGAUGUGCACAUGCAUUUCAGGACAGAAGCUUCAGCAAUGUAUUUUUUCUGUAACAGGUGAGCAGGCCAGUUAAAAAUGGCUUGAUGGUACAUAAUUAGAGCAAUGUUAAACUUGUUUUUUCUUAGAAUAGUUUGUAAUCUUUUUCAAAAAGUUAAGGAAAAUAGAUCAAUGCAGUUGCUUAUUUUCCACUUAAAAGAAAAAAAUAUGGUGAAUGUAAUUCAUGUUCAGCACAGUGAGACACUAAUCUGUAUUACCAUGCUGCAAAUACACAAUAAUUCUCAUUACCAGUGUUAAUGUUGCAAAUUUAUACUGCGUCCUUCAGCCACUGCAACUGUGGUAGACCUCUUGAGGGUCAUCAUCUUUAUAAAAUAAUCUCGUCACAGGUCGUCAGUUUUUCUUUGAAAGUCAAGGGUUUGAGCCUAUUCAGUCAAUACCUACUCCUCUGCCUGCUAAAGCUAGGGAAAAACUCUUUGGAAAAUUAAUUUAUUGAAUCCCAGGACAGUCAUCCUUAUGUUUUGCAGUUCGUGAAUAUGGAGAGAACAAUGCUGAUGGGCAGUCUCCCACUUCUCUUGGUCCGCUCCAGGUCAUAGGCAGGUGGGAACAGGACUGCUGAGGCCUGGCAGCUUCAUCAAGCAAAUGCAAGAUGGUUUUGUAUGAACCACAGUCUGCAAGGCAGAAAAUCACUUUGAAGUGAGCCAUGAUCAAUAGGAGGCUGAAAGAAGUGUCUUGUUCUGAUCAUUGUAUGUAAUUAUUAUAAAAUUGUUUGACAGAUUACCGACUUUCAGAAGUAGAGAGUCUUAGAAGCAAGUGCCACAACAAAUGUGGUUUAUGAAUUUUAUUUUUUUCUUUUCAAUGAAUAAUUAACCGUUUAUUGUACUGAUCAUAUCUAACAUUGGAUUCCUCCUGCUUGCAGUGUUCUGCUGUGAAUGUUUUAGGGCCCAUCAGUAUUGUAACUUUGGUCUUGGCUGUGUAUGUGCUGAAGUACCUGAACAUACGUUAUAAGACCUAGAGCUGUCAAAUUCCCCCUAAACCUGUCUCUCAUGGCAUUAUAAAGGCAGUUCUGCUGCCUCACUCCUCAGUACCUAAAGUGACAGGGAAAGAAAGAGAGAAAACCUGAACAAGAAGCACCCAGUAUGUAGCAAGCCAAGGUACAAUUGGAAAAAAGACAGGGCAGCACGUGUGUCUUGUAGCCACCCAGAAAAGGGUAUGAAGCAGAGAAGAAAAAGUUGCAUACAGCUGUGGCUGAAUUGUAUUAUAAAGCAUCAUAAGAAAACAAUUUUCUUUUAAAACUGCUGACUUGUUUUUGCUUUUAUUGAGUUAUUUGGUGGCCCUCAAUGACUAUUGACUUAGGUAGCUUGAAGUGUCAAGGCAGAAGAAGCAGUUAAAGGCAGGAUGUCCUUGCACCCCUUAAUUAAAAGAGAUUAAAAGUGUUGCUAUUUAACUUUGAGCUGAGGAAGAUGGAAAACAUGUAUUUAGUGUUGUUUCCACUAUUACACAGUUAUAUCCUUGAUUUUUGACUGUUUGUUAAUUUCCUUUUUGAUCAUUGUGUAGGAGAGGUUUCCUUGUUUUAUUGUUAUCUGAAAUAUCCAAAACUGUAAUCCUGGUUUGGUAGUGCACAGCUAUGUUUAUGUGAUCAGACUUUACAUGUUAAAUGUGUUUUCAUCAGUAAUCUAAUAUUUAUGAGCCAUUACAGUAUUGAGGUUUAGCUAGAGGUUUUCUGUACUGAUAACGCAUAUGUUUGUUUUCCAGUGAUGUAAUUUAUUGCUAAGAACAAUUUCUGUUUAACAGAACUGAAGUGUUCUUGAUAUCUGCAGAUGUUAUUCUGUAUAGCAUUGGAGUUUAGAAUAGAUGGCCACAUACAGAAAUGUAUAUUAUUUCAAAAGAGCUAAAAUCUAUAUUAUAAUAAAGGAAGAAAAUAAUGGUGAACAUUUAUUAUGUUUUGUUUCUAUCCUGACACUACCCAGGUUUUCUGACAACAAUUUUCAUUGCACCAUUUUCAGAGUGCUAAAUAUGUAGCAUUUUGGCAAGAUCAUUGACUCAAACGUACUAGUAUUGUGCUGGCAUUCCUACUCCUUUGACUUGUAUCCUGGGUGCAGGCAGCUGGAUCAGUAUUAAUCGCUGCAGAAGAUCCCGUCUGGGUGCCAGGGUUUCAGACCACUGGAAAAGGCUUGUUCUUGGCAGGAGAGCAGCACAGAUACGAGCUGGGAAGGCAUCCUCCUUCCAGUGCAUCAUGGUGUUCAGGGCCAGAUUUCUGUGUACUUUGGAAAAAACAUUACUGAAAUUAUUCUUUUACAAGCAAUUAAGAAAAGACCAUGCUUUGGUAGUUUAAUGUAUUUACAAAAAGUAGCAAAAAAGUGAAUAUAGGUAAACAUAUCAGUGGGAGAAGAGUGUUGUAUUUAUAUAGAAGUAUGUAUCUGUGUAUAUACUGAUGUUCACAUAUGUGAGUGUGUGUGUACAAGUGUGUUUUUAUACUCCGACUUAACCUAUAAUAAAUGUUUAAAACAUGUACAUUUCAGAAACAUUUAAAAAAAUGA